GCCCGGGUGGCGGAAUAGGCAGACGCGCACGUUUGAGGGGCGUGUGGGGCAACCCGUAUCGGUUCAAAUCCGAUCCCGGGCACCA
This 85-nucleotide transfer RNA is filed under the name Firmicutes bacterium ZCTH02-B6. RNAcentral's name for it is "tRNA-Leu". It matches the Rfam family "tRNA". Rfam says of the family: Transfer RNA (tRNA) molecules are approximately 80 nucleotides in length. Their secondary structure includes four short double-helical elements and three loops (D, anti-codon, and T loops). The record is from RNAcentral. Lineage: Bacteria; Bacillati; Bacillota. RNAcentral also lists the same sequence under 1 other name.